CCCUUAGAUGUCCUGGGCCGCACGCGCGCUACACUGAGUGUCUGAGAUACGAGUCUGCCUGGUCCGGCAAGGUCUAGGUAAUCGCUAAAAGACACAUCAUGCUUGGGAUAGAUUAUUGCAAAUAUUAAUCUUGAACGAGGAAUUCCUAGUAAGCGCAAGUCAACAGCUUGCGUUGAUUACGUCCCUGCCCUUUGUACACACCGCCCGUCGCUACUACUGAUUGGAUGUUUAAGCGAGGUUUUCGAACUGCUAGCGACUUAGCUUCGGUGAGGUCGCAGUGUGGGAAGUGAACCUAGCUUUGGUGUCUAGAGGAAGUAAAAGUCGUAACA
Molecule: ribosomal RNA, 329 nt
Filed under: uncultured eukaryote
Lineage: Eukaryota
Description: partial 18S ribosomal RNA
Rfam family: Eukaryotic small subunit ribosomal RNA
Source: RNAcentral